AUGACCAAGAGAGGCCCCCGGAUCUGCGCUCCCGCGGCUGACGGCGGCCAUGACGAGGCUGCUCUAGAGCACCCCCUCCCCGGCGGCGAGAGAUUGGCCUCCACGUACAUGGAGUUGACCCCGGUUUUCAGGGAUGGUGCUGCUAGCGUUCAACACCAUGGACGGACGGAUGCUGGGCAGAACCCAGGCCAUGACAAUGCAGGCACAUAUCAAGGAUUCUCGACACCCUCAACUGAAGCUCCAACUCAAUUACUUCCCGUGCUGGACAUUGCUCCAACAUCGUCGUUCCGUCCAUGCUUCGAAUUGAUGGGUUGCCGUUCUGCCGACCUUGCCGGAAUCAAGUCUGCCCGUGCUCCAGCCAAGAUACGUCAUUUCGGGUGCUCGAGCAGUACUAAUUUAUAUUCAUGCUGCUAA
Molecule: ribosomal RNA, 414 nt
Filed under: Triticum aestivum (bread wheat)
Lineage: Eukaryota; Viridiplantae; Streptophyta; Magnoliopsida; Poales; Poaceae
Description: partial small subunit ribosomal RNA
Source: RNAcentral